GGCUUCGUUGCUCAGCUGGUAGAGUAUUUGCCGCAUGUGAACAUGUUGUUUCCGUCGCUCGUUCGAAUCCAGCCGAAGUCU
Non-coding RNA from Paragonimus heterotremus, 81 nucleotides. The record is from the annotation of a GenBank genome assembly. Lineage: Eukaryota; Metazoa; Platyhelminthes; Trematoda; Plagiorchiida; Troglotrematidae.